RNAcentral lists this ribosomal RNA (411 nucleotides) under uncultured bacterium. Its description in RNAcentral is "partial 16S ribosomal RNA". It matches the Rfam family "Bacterial small subunit ribosomal RNA", at positions 355 to 756 of the family's 1533-position model. The record is from RNAcentral.
UGGGGAAUAUUGCACAAUGGGCGCAAGCCUGAUGCAGCCAUGCCGCGUGUGUGAAGAAGGCCUUCGGGUUGUAAAGCACUUUCAGCGAGGAGGAAGGGUUCAGUGUUAAUAGCACUGUUCAUUGACGUUACUCGCAGAAGAAGCGCCGGCUAACUCCGUGCCAGCAGCCGCGGUAAUACGGAGGGUGCAAGCGUUAAUCGGAAUUACUGGGCGUAAAGCGCACGCAGGCGGUUUGUUAAGUCAGAUGUGAAAUCCCCGCGCUUAACGUGGGAACUGCAUUUGAAACUGGCAAGCUAGAGUCUUGUAGAGGGGGGUAGAAUUCCCAGGUGUAGCGGUGAAAUGCGUAGAGAUCUGGAGGAAUACCGGUGGCGAAGGCGGCCCCCCUGGACAAAGACUGACGCUCAGGUGCGA